This 497-nucleotide ribosomal RNA is filed under the name uncultured bacterium. RNAcentral describes it as "partial 16S ribosomal RNA". It matches the Rfam family "Bacterial small subunit ribosomal RNA", at positions 28 to 507 of the family's 1533-position model. The record is from RNAcentral.
GAUGAACGCUGGCGGCGUGCCUAAUACAUGCAAGUCGAGCGAACAGACGAGGAGCUUGCUCCUCUGACGUUAGCGGCGGACGGGUGAGUAACACGUGGAUAACCUACUUAUAAGACUGGGAUAACUUCGGGAAACCGGAGCUAAUACCGGAUAAUAUAUUGAACCGCAGGGUUCAAUAGUGAAAGACGGUUUUGCUGUCACUUAUAGAUGGAUCCGCGCUGGAUUAGCUAGUUGGUAAGGUAACGGCUCACCAAGGCGACGAUCCGUAGCCGAGCUGAGAGGAGGAUAGGCCACACUGGAACUGAGACACGGUCCAGACUCCGACGGGAGGCAGCAGUGGGGAAUAUUGGACAAUGGGCGCAAGCCUGAUCCAGCAAUACCGCGUGGGUGAAGAAGGCCUUCGGGUUGUAAAGCCCUUUUGUUGGGAAAGAAAAGCAGCAGGUUAAUACCCCGCUGUUCUGACGGUACCCAAAGAAUAAGCACCGGCUAACUUCGUG